Molecule: ribosomal RNA, 468 nt
Filed under: uncultured bacterium
Lineage: Bacteria
Description: partial 16S ribosomal RNA
Rfam family: Bacterial small subunit ribosomal RNA
Source: RNAcentral
GACGAACGCUGGCGGCGUGCUUAACACAUGCAAGUCGAACGGAAAGGCCCUGCUUUUGUGGGGUGCUCGAGUGGCGAACGGGUGAGUAACACGUGAGUAACCUGCCCUUGACUUUGGGAUAACUUCAGGAAACUGGGGCUAAUACCGGAUAGGAGCUCCUGCUGCAUGGUGGGGGUUGGAAAGUUUCGGCGGUUGGGGAUGGACUCGCGGCUUAUCAGCUUGUUGGUGGGGUAGUGGCUUACCAAGGCUUUGACGGGUAGCCGGCCUGAGAGGGUGACCGGCCACCUUGGGACUGAGGGACGGCCCAGAAUCCUACGGGAGGCAGCAGUGGGGAAUAUUGCACAAUGGGCGGAAGCCUGAUGCAGCAACGCCGCGUGCGGGAUGACGGCCUUCGGGUUGUAAACCGCUUUCGCCUGUGACGAAGCGUGAGUGGCGGUAAUGGGUAAAGAAGCACCGGCUAACUACGUG